This 497-nucleotide ribosomal RNA is filed under the name uncultured bacterium. Its description in RNAcentral is "partial 16S ribosomal RNA". It matches the Rfam family "Bacterial small subunit ribosomal RNA", at positions 28 to 507 of the family's 1533-position model. The record is from RNAcentral.
GAUGAACGCUGGCGGCGUGCCUAAUACAUGCAAGUCGAGCGAACAGACGAGGAGCUUGCUCCUCUGAUGUUAGCGGCGGACGGGUGAGUAACACGUGGAUAACCUACCUAUAAGACUGGGAUAACUUCGGGAAACCGGAGCUAAUACCGGAUAACAUGUUGAACCGCAUGGUUCAACAGUGAAAGACGGUCUUGCUGUCACUUAUAGAUGGAUCCGCGCCGCAUUAGCUAGUUGGUAAGGUAACGGCUUACCAAGGCAACGAUGCGUAGCCGACCUGAGAGGGUGAUCGGCCACACUGGAACUGAGACACGGUCCAGACUCCUACGGGAGGCAGCAGUAGGGAAUCUUCCGCAAUGGGCGAAAGCCUGACGGAGCAACGCCGCGUGAGUGAGGAAGGUCUUCGGAUCGUAAAACUCUGUUAUUAGGGAAGAACAAAUGUGUAAGUAACUAUGCACGUCUUGACGGUACCUAAUCAGAAAGCCACGGCUAACUACGUG